UACCNGGUCUUGANNUCCUUUGACCNCUCGAGAGAUCGAGCUUUCCCUUCGGGGACAAAGUGACAGGUGGUGCAUGGUUGUCGUCAGCUCGUGUCGUGAGAUGUUGGGUUAAGUCCCGCAACGAGCGCAACCCUUAUUACUAGUUGCCAGCAUUCAGUUGGGCACUCUAGUGAGACUGCCGGUGACAAACCGGAGGAAGGUGGGGAUGACGUCAAAUCAUCAUGCCCCUUAUGACCUGGGCUACACACGUGCUACAAUGGAUGGUACAACGAGUCGCGAAGUCGUGAGGCCAAGCUAAUCUCUUAAAGCCAUUCUCAGUUCGGAUUGUAGGCUGCAACUCGCCUACAUGAAGCCGGAAUCGCUAGUAAUCGCGGAUCAGAACGCCACGGUGAAUACGUUUCCCGGG
Molecule: ribosomal RNA, 406 nt
Filed under: Carnobacterium sp. AZTITEMP41
Lineage: Bacteria; Bacillati; Bacillota; Bacilli; Lactobacillales; Carnobacteriaceae
Description: bacterial SSU rRNA
Rfam family: Bacterial small subunit ribosomal RNA
Source: RNAcentral